Molecule: transfer RNA, 73 nt
Filed under: bacterium F11
Lineage: Bacteria
Also listed under: 1 other name
Rfam family: tRNA
About the family: Transfer RNA (tRNA) molecules are approximately 80 nucleotides in length. Their secondary structure includes four short double-helical elements and three loops (D, anti-codon, and T loops).
Source: Rfam by way of RNAcentral
GCGCCCGUAGCUCAGCUGGAAGAGCGUCUGGCUUCGAACCAGCAGGUCGCAGGUUCGAGUCCUGCCGGGCGCG